GACGAACGCUGGCGGCGUGCUUAACACAUGCAAGUCGAACGGAAAGGCCCUGCUUUUGUGGGGUGCUCGAGUGGCGAACGGGUGAGUAACACGUGAGUAACCUGCCCUUGACUUUGGGAUAACUUCAGGAAACUGGGGCUAAUACCGGAUAUGAGCUCCUGCUGCAUGGUGGGGGUUGGAAAGUUUCGGCGGUUGGGGAUGGACUCGCGGCUUAUCAGCUUGUUGGUGGGGUAGUGGCUUACCAAGGCUUUGACGGGUAGCCGGCCUGAGAGGGUGACCGGCCACAUUGGGACUGAGGUACGGCCCAGACGGCAACGGGAGGCAGCGGGGGAGAAUAUUGCACAAUGGGCGGAAGCCUGAUGCAGCAGCGCCGCGUGCGGGAUGACGGCCUUCGGGGUGUAAACCGCUUUCGCCUGUAACGAAGCGUGAGUGACGGUAAUGGGUAAAGAAGCACCGGCUAACUACGUG
RNAcentral lists this ribosomal RNA (468 nucleotides) under uncultured bacterium. RNAcentral's name for it is "partial 16S ribosomal RNA". It matches the Rfam family "Bacterial small subunit ribosomal RNA", at positions 28 to 507 of the family's 1533-position model. The record is from RNAcentral.